UAGGGAAUAUUGGUCAAUGGAUGGAAGUCUGAACCAGCCAUGCCGCGUGCAGGAAGAAGGCCUUCUGGGUUGUAAACUGCUUUUGCCAGGGGCUAAAAAGCUCAUGCGUGAGAAAUUGAAAGUACCUGGUGAAUAAGCCACGGCUAACUACGUGCCAGCAGCCGCGGUAAUACGUAGGUGGCAAGCGUUGUCCGGAUUUAUUGGGUUUAAAGGGUGCGUAGGCGGCUUUGUAAGUCAGUGGUGAAAUAUGGCAGCUCAACUGUCAGGGUGCCAUUGAUACUGCGGAGCUUGAGUACAGAUGAGGUAGGCGGAAUUGACGGUGUAGCGGUGAAAUGCUUAGAUAUCGUCAAGAACACCGAUAGCGAAGGCAGCUUACUGGGCUGUAACUGACGCUGAGGCACGAAAGUGUGGGGAUCAAACAGG
Molecule: ribosomal RNA, 423 nt
Filed under: uncultured bacterium
Lineage: Bacteria
Also listed under: 1 other name
Description: bacterial SSU rRNA
Rfam family: Bacterial small subunit ribosomal RNA
Source: RNAcentral